ACCUUGCCCAAAGUGUUCAAAGAAAAUCCGUUGAUUUGUUUCAAAAGGAAUAAAACAUUAAAGGACAUACUGGUACAUACAGAUCCGAUUAAAAGUUACAGUCAAGAAGCAGCAAUCCAGCAUCGUCGCAGUGUCCGUUGUUUAGGGUGCGUUACAUGUAGCCAAAUGACCCCAUCAAGAACUUUUUAACAUCCGCACAACAAUAAAGUGUUUAAAAUACAACACACAAUCAUGUGCAAAACAUCGUUUGCGGUAUACAAAUUAACAUGUCCAUGUGGGUUAUUAUAUAUCGGCAAAACCAAAACCCCACUAUGUGAGAGGAUACGUGGACAUAGGUCGGCUAUACGUGUGGCAUACCUAGAUGGACACUCAGAACAACCUGUGGCACAACAUUUUUUUAAACAUGAAACACC
Pelobates cultripes (western spadefoot toad) is the source of this 413-nucleotide non-coding RNA. The record is from the annotation of a GenBank genome assembly. NCBI's taxonomy places the organism in Eukaryota, Metazoa, Chordata, Amphibia, Anura, Pelobatidae.